AUGCUACUAAACUUCUCACACAAUUGAAAAAUAUUACAUCCGAGUUAGAUGUUGAAGUUGAAAAGCAGCCAGCGGUCAUUCCAACUAUGGAAUAUAACAAAAAAAAUGUAUCAGAACGAGAAAUAUUCAAUCUAUUUGGAGACAUAUCGUUCCAAGAAAUAGUUUACAGUGUAGAGCAGACGCCAAAGAAAGAGACCAGAGAACAGUCAACAA
This is a long non-coding RNA of Mytilus californianus (California mussel), 213 nucleotides long. RefSeq lists it as uncharacterized. Lineage: Eukaryota; Metazoa; Mollusca; Bivalvia; Mytilida; Mytilidae. The record is from RefSeq and is a predicted model, not a curated record. The transcript is spliced from 3 exons.